ACAAAUCCUAGAGCUGCAACUAUAUUUUAUAAAUGGCCCUCGUUUGGUUCCUGCAUAACAAAUAAUGUCUUCUCAUUGAUGGGGGCUGUUUCAUGCGCCUGCCUUUUUGGAGAAAGAAAACAACUUCUAGUCUCAGGCUUGUAUGAAUCCAGCACUGUUUUUCACAACUUGUUUUCGCCUCAGCGACUUGACAUGGCUCCCUAUCCAUCGCCGGUCCCCACGCUCCACGGUAACGAGAUUUUAAAAACUGUCCAUUUGGCUCCUUCCUGAGGUUUUACUCAUUUUGAAACUUUGCCACGCUGGCUGGCAUGUUUCACAUUUGCUUAUCUCUGAGCUUACUCCCAAGAGCUGCUGAACUUUCCCUUCCAUGUCACUAAGCUGGGACAGAGUGAAGACGGAGAGGAAAGAGUUACUGUCUCACAAGCUGUGACUUUGUCUGUCCAGAGUGGCCCUUGGAUGCAGCUCAUUAUUUGUGGAAAUAGUGUGUGCCACGGGCAAAAAUAACUUUUUAAAAAAAGCACAUCUCUGUACCCUCCUGAAGUCAUCUCAAAAUGAAGUCAAGAUUUCUCAUGAAACGGAGAGAGCUUUAUCAUGGCCCGAGUGGGUCCUUGAGUACUUGUCCCCGCCACAUUGUCUGCUCUGAGCAACCUGAGGGUCCAGACCAAGCUAAAAGAGGCUUCAUGAUGAGCCCUGGGACAGACAAGACUGGGAGCCUUGGUGAAAGGGAGGAGACCCUGUGUCCCCGGUUUUGCCAAGUCAGCCUGGCCCAUCCUCUGACAGCUAAAUCAACACUCUUUAUCCUGUGGCGACUGAUAACGCAUCCACCGCUUCCUGCCAAGGAGGAAAUCCUGAUGGGACAUUAUCAGGGGCGAGACAUCAUCCGUCAGCCGCCGUCACAGGAACCCAGGGCUCAUCCAGACCCCACGCCAAUCUUUCCGCCUUUAUCUGCGCUCCCCAAAUGCCUCAGCCUGUUUGCUGAUAGAGGAAUCCGGCAUCUCCUCUUCUCAAGGACCCGAAAAAGAUUCUUCGAUAGCAAGAAACUAAGCUCUCAGCUUCCCCAGCUCGCAAAGGAGAUGAUCUGA
Molecule: long non-coding RNA, 1082 nt
Filed under: Sus scrofa (pig)
Lineage: Eukaryota; Metazoa; Chordata; Mammalia; Artiodactyla; Suidae
Description: lncRNA (ENSSSCG00070002560.1)
Source: RNAcentral